Molecule: long non-coding RNA, 438 nt
Filed under: Rattus norvegicus (Norway rat)
Lineage: Eukaryota; Metazoa; Chordata; Mammalia; Rodentia; Muridae
Description: long non-coding RNA NONRATT031340
Source: RNAcentral
CUUAGGCAGAAGACCAACAAAUCUUGUUUAGUUUUCUAACAUUUAUUUUUGUUGGGUUUUGAGACAGGAGUUCAUAUAGCCCAGGCUGGCUUAGAGCUCUCAGUGCCUACUGAAACUUGGCCCUGAACUACUGAUUCUUCUGCCUCUUCAUAUUACUAGAACCAUAGUGGCUGGCUGGAGUGGCACUAAGCUGGAUAAAAGUCGCCAUGACUUCGCGGAACCAUGUGAUUUACAUGGUGGAACCAUGUAACUACAGGGGUAUGGUGAGUUUCUGACUCAUCCAUCUCUGCCUGCUGGUCCAUCUGAGCUGUGGACUAAGAGUGGACCUCUCCCCUGCCCCAUGGCAAGCACGUGGACUUCAGAAAGGCAAAAGAUGUAGCGCUGUGAUUCAGAAAUGGUGAAAUAAAAUCAACAGGAUCGCCACUGCUGAUGGUGGAU